Molecule: ribosomal RNA, 468 nt
Filed under: uncultured bacterium
Lineage: Bacteria
Description: partial 16S ribosomal RNA
Rfam family: Bacterial small subunit ribosomal RNA
Source: RNAcentral
GACGAACGCUGGCGGCGUGCUUAACACAUGCAAGUCGAACGGAAAGGCCCUGCUUUUGUGGGGUGCUCGAGUGGCGAACGGGUGAGUAACACGUGAGUAACCUGCCCUUGACUUUGGGAUAACUUCAGGAAACUGGGGCUAAUACCGGAUAGGAGCUCCUGCUGCAUGGUGGGGGUUGGAAAGUUUCGGCGGUUGGGGAUGGACUCGCGGCUUAUCAGCUUGUUGGUGGGGUAGUGGCUUACCAAGGCUUUGACGGGUAGCCGGCCUGAGAGGGUGACCGGCGACAUUGGGACUGAGAUACUGCCCAGACUCCUACGGGAGGCAGCAGUGGGGAAUAUUGCACAAUGGGCGGAAGCCUGAUGCAGCAACGCCGCGUGCUGGAUGACGGCCUUCGGUUUGUAAACCGCUUUCGCCUGUGACGAAGCGGGAGUGACGGUAAUUGGUAAAUAAGCACCGGCUAACUACGUG